AAAGAAACUGUUCCUGCUGC
Molecule: non-coding RNA, 20 nt
Filed under: Rattus norvegicus (Norway rat)
Lineage: Eukaryota; Metazoa; Chordata; Mammalia; Rodentia; Muridae
Source: RNAcentral